AUUCUACUCUUCUAUGUACCAAAAGCAAUCAUAUCCCUACAAGAUUUAUUUAAGAAAACAUCAGAAAAAGUAAUUUACUUAAUUUUUCAGUUAAUUAGCAAUAUGAAUGCAAAGCCUCCACUUUCUAGCCAAAGGAAGAUUAUGUAACUAUAUUAAUCCGCCUCCCAGGCUCACGCCAUUCUUCUGCCUCAGUCUCCCUAGAAGCUGGAACUAUAGGCGCCCGCCACUGAACCAUGAAAUAAGAAAAAUAAAGUGAAAAUUAUUUUCUUUUGUAAAACAGAAGAUGGAGGAAAAUCAAUCCUAGUUUCAGCGAGGUUUUGCAGUGCAUGUGCAGGCUACGUUAAUGUCACCCAGGAGCUUGAUUGACAGAUGCUCAAAUGCCCAGCCCUAUCCCUGCCCCAUCUACUGAGGAACAUGGAUGAACUCAUAAGUCAAAAUUUUGCCAGAGGGGAACAGGCACCUCUGCUCACCUCUAUUUUCAUUCCUAGCAGGAUUAAAUUCAUAUUGUAUUUGCUGAGCAGCCCAGGUGUUUAAGAAAAAGUUGUCAUUCAGAUUGAUGGUACUUUAAAAAAAAUCCUUCUUUCCUUCCUUUCUUUCUUUCCUUCCUUCCUUCCUUCCUUCCUUCCUUCCUUCCUUCCUUCCUUCUUUCUUUCUUUCUUUCUUUCUUUCUUUCUUUCUUUCUUUCUUUCUUUCUUUCUUUCUUUCUUUCAUUUGUGGCCUGAUGCACCAUGUCUGCUACUUCCUGUGACUGGGUAUGUCUCUCUGCAAGCAUGGUAUGCUGCCCACUUUGGGGUGAGCAUUUCACUCAGAGACAUCUAUGUGGUUCCUGGUGUUGCAGUAUGUACAUAUAGAUCUAUGUAUGUUAAGCACUUGAGUGUUGUUUUCUCCUGUUUCCAUUCCCUUAUCUCCAGACUAUUUCUCAUUGUAAAGAGGAUAGUUUGCAGGACAUUAGGAAAAUAUGGGAUUCCUCUUCUGAACCUUCCCUUCUGCUUUUCUGCAGUAGGAAACUUUACUCAUCUCCUCCCCGCCUCACCCACCAAGGAUGUGCCCAGUUUUCCCCUGGACUGUCCACCUUCUCCAAAUGGUAGUUGCUGCAGUCUACUUAAAAUCUGGAACUGUAUACCCUGGCUCUCAAUGUUUUUCCUCCAUUGGGUCAAGGUUCACCAUAUUUGGAUGUAUUGUUCAAAUGCUGUACUUUGGAGGUUUAGCCACUUCCUUAUUUCUUGAAGAUGUGGGUUUGUAGUUCUUGUUCUCUUUGUUGAUAACUGUGGGUUUCAGAGAAGGGAACAGAAGAAAGAGCAUGCUAUUUCUUACCAGAAGCAUUCCAGUUGUUUUUUUUUUAAGCUAAUAAAUCACUGUCAUUACGCUUGACUACACUCUUAGUCUCUGGUCACAUGUCACGUGGGAUGGCAUCUGUGAACUCUGAGGUGUUCAUGAGUUGCUUAGCAACCAGAAGUUCUUUUAUUCCUCCCAACAGCCUGCCCCAACCCUAUCCCUACAUGGCCCAGCCCACCCUGCCUUAAAAUAGAACGUGUGGUACCAUGAGUCACUUGAAAAAUAGUUCUCUCACUAAGAGAAAGCCCUCGGCUUCCAAAGGGUAGCGCUAAUCAAGAGGAGAUUGAGAGGGGGAUGUGUUAAAUAGGAGGAGGAAAAGACACCAAUAUUGACAGUAGAUAUAAAAUGAACUAUUAAUAAAUUAAGGAAAUUUAUAUAGGUCAGCAAGACCUUGGAAGAAAGGCAAGACAAGAAGGUGGAAACAGAAUAUAUGUAUUCUUUUUUGUCACAAAAGUGAGAUGAUCAUAGCACAUAUUUGGAGUUUCUGCACACAAAGCAGAGUCCAGAUGAGAGGAAGCUGCAUAUGCCCAGACACUCUUGGUUGCCUUAAUCACACAAUUUUCCAUACAUUAAAAAUACUAAAAAGAGAAAAAGUACAUGUAAAUGAGGUAAAUAGCAAAUGGGAGGUGGAGAAUCACACAGUCUAGCCAGCUCACUUUGGGGUAAGGACUGGAGGGGGUUUGUGCCCAGAGAUGAUGCCACGAGGGCCAACUUUGACCUGUGUUUAAAUGGAUCAGGUGGGGUCUGUGCACACAGGGGCUUCUAGGACCAUGCAGAUGGUGCAGGAAGCCUGAGGCAAAGCAGUGGCAUGAGUUUGUGGUCCUGGCGCCCUCUCCGUGCUUUCUGAAUAUAUCAGUCUGCUCUGUAGGCACAGUGGGAGUAGGACAGGGACUCACUAGAAAUGUUUAUGCCCCAGAAGUGGCUAUUAAUAGAAAGGAAUGGAAAUAAGAGCACUUGGGUGAGAACAUUGUAUUUUUAAAAUGUAUAAUCAUUUUAUAUGCUAUUUUAUACAUAAUAAGCAACACGUUUUCCAGAUAUAAAAGUAGCUUGAUUCUCAGGCAUCAGAUAACUUCUACAUGGGAUAUGCCAAGGUUAAGAAAUAAAUCUUUUUUGUUUCCAAAUUAAUAAACAUUUUUGUGAGACUUAUAUAAAACCUGCAAAAUAAAAACCAACAACAAUGCACAUGGGAGGUAGAAAAAUUUUAAUAACUAGUGCUAUUCAAAGGGAAAUAGUAUCUAUAUAUAAUUAACAAAAAUAUAUUUAAUAGUUAUAUUAAAAGUACUCUUAUGUGUGAGACUUUAAUAUUAGCAAUUUUCUAAAUAGCAAUAAUCGGAUGAUUUAUUAAGUGUGAAUUAUAGGUGAAAUUAUCAACAUCUCUCAAAUCAGGCAGGAUAAAUCAAAUUUUAAUUAAGCUCAUUGUUUCAUUCUAUAAAUUUCUUGUUAAAUUAUUUUUUAGAGAUGGAUGUCUCACUACAUUGUCUAUACUGGUCUCAAACUCCUGGCCUCAAGUGAUCCUCCUAUCCUAGCUGUUCCUGUAGCUGGGACUACAGGCAGGUGCCACCUCUCCCAAAUUUCACACACAUUUUUAAGACUGCAACAUACUUCUUGGUGAUAAACCUAAACUAAAAACAGAAAUCUUGCCCAUUCUGUUUGCAAACAUCUAUCUCCAAAGUGAGUGAAAUUUCUGUACAUCUGUUUCACAAGUCGUGGGGACUUCCCGCAGUUGUCUGAUUCACAAAUUUAACUUCUUUUUAGUUAAAAAAGUUUCGCUCUUGUUGCGUAGGCUGGAGUGCAAUGGCACAAUCUUGGCUCACUGCAAACUCAGCAUCCCAGGUUCAUGUGAUUCUCCUGCCUCAGCCUCCCAAGUAGCUGGGAUUACAGGCACCCGCCACCACACCCAGAUAAUUUUUGUAUUUUUAGUAGAGAUGGGGUUUCACCACAUUGGCCAGCCUGGUCUCGAACUCCUGAUCUCAGGUGGUCUGCCCGCCUCGGCCUCCUAAAGUGUUGGGAUUACAGGCGUGAGCCACCACGUCCAGCCUGUGAUUUUAAAUAUUAGCACUAUCCCAGCCUGUGAUUUUAAAUAUUAGCACUAUCCCAGCCUGUGAUUUUAAAUAUUAGCACUAUCCCAGCCUGUGAUUUUAAAUAUUAGCAAUAUCCAAAUAUUAGCACUAUCCAAAUGCUUUUUGGAAAAAUUACUGUGAACAGAUUCUAGCAGUCUUCAUAUCUGAAGUACUUCUAAUCUAUCAAGAAGGCCACAUAUGCACUCAUAAAAUGACUUUCAAAAUAACCAAACUAUGUUUUUAAAUAUGACCCCUGAAAAAAUCAUUUUAUAUUAUUUGUAUAUAGAUUACUUUUCUUCUUUGCCUACUAUUUCCAUUUCUGCUGCUUCACCAAAACCAACACCAAUUCACUAUUCUUCAUUUUUUUUUUUGUUCUCUAGAGGAUUUUUUAUUCUGAAUGAUCUGAAUACUCAUUUUAUCCUUUUACCCUGCCUGCAUUUGUCCCCUCCCCCCACCAAAAUAAUGCCAGCUUCAAAAUAAAUGUAUGAGGUUAAAAGUCAAGACAGUCAUAUGGGAUGGAAGGUGGGGGAUGGCAGCCUAAAAAGGGGCCCAAUGGCAAGGUUCUGAGAUGCUGGUAAUGUUCAGUGACUUGAUAUGGGUGGAUGGGUAUUUUCUGUUUGUGAAAAUGUAUCAGUAUAUUUGAACAUAAUUCAUUUACCUUUAUGUACAUUCAAAACAUUAACUUAAAGAAGAAAAUUAGUUCAUUUGAUCAUCCUUAAACUUUCAUGUACUCCAUUUCUCCUCUCAGUCUAUCUUUCCAGUUUGCUUACGAACUUAGCAAAUAAAAAAAUACUGAAUUCAUUAUAAACAAUCUGAGGCAAUCAUUAUUUUUAUAAUUGAUUUCUUCCAUUUCUACAGUCACAAUUACAUUUUUACCCAGGUAGGCAAUAUAUUUUUCAAGCAGAAGUAAUUUAUCCUAGAGCUUCUCCCAUUGAUCAUCUUCCCAACAUGCUGCCAUGUCAUGUGGUCUAAUUCGAUGGUCUAAGAAACCAUCCAGUGAGGCUGCAUUUGAAUUUGCGUGGCAGAUGAUAGACACUAGAGCACUGGAACACAGUAAUGACUCCCAUAAUUAAUACCAUUCAAAAGAAGUCACAUGGGUGGUGUCAUGUCCUUCCUAUCAAACAUAAUCAAUAGUCCUCAGCCACCGUAGAUGAUUCAUCCUGGUGCUUCUUCAUAUCAGAAAAAAAUUGGAAAAGUAACUAAAGAUGCAAUUUUGUUAGGAAGUCUCUUACAAAUCCAUAUGUAUUUGCUAUACUUCUGUGUGUACACACACACACCAUACAUGCAUGCACACGCACAUAAUGUCCACACACAGACAUGCAUGCACACACACAAACAUGUACAGCAUACACGCAUGUGCACACACUCCAUUUCUUUUUUGGAAAAGCCAUAAUAUUACAAGCAGCUAGGACAAACUGUGUGACAAAUUAGAUAAUAAUAGAUAAAAUAAUUAGAAUGACUAAGCUAUUCAGUCCUAAAUAACCACAUUUUGUAUGGCAUUUUCUUCUAUUACUUUAAUAAUAUUCUGAUGAAGAGAAAAUAUUCAGGCCAAGUAACAUUUCAGUGGAAAUAGAAUAAAUGAUCCAUGGGAAAGAAACCUGUCAUAUAUCUGCCCCACAGUAAAGAUGGACUGAAUUUAACAAGGAUAAGCAUUU
RNAcentral lists this long non-coding RNA (5050 nucleotides) under Homo sapiens (human). Its description in RNAcentral is "non-protein coding lnc-PENK-5:1". Lineage: Eukaryota; Metazoa; Chordata; Mammalia; Primates; Hominidae. The record is from RNAcentral.